This 358-nucleotide ribosomal RNA is filed under the name uncultured bacterium. RNAcentral's name for it is "bacterial SSU rRNA". It matches the Rfam family "Bacterial small subunit ribosomal RNA", at positions 917 to 1271 of the family's 1533-position model. The record is from RNAcentral.
GGGCCCGCACAAGCGGUGGAGCAUGUGGCUUAAUUCGAGGCAACGCGAAGAACCUUACCUGGUCUUGACAUGCCCGUCAUAGUUUUCCGAAAGGAAUUCGUCAGUUCGGCUGGACGGUGCACAGGUGCUGCAUGGCUGUCGUCAGCUCGUGUCGUGAGAUGUUCGUUAAGUCCGGCAACGAGCGCAACCCUCGUUCCUAGUUGCCAGCGGGUAAUGCCGGGGACUCUAGGAAGACAAACCUCGUGUAGAGGUGGGAAGGUGGGGACGACGUCAAGUCAGUAUGGCCCUUACGGACCAGGGCUGCACACGUGCUACAAUGCUUGGUACAAUGGGAUGCAACACCGCGAGGUUGAGCUAA